Molecule: small nucleolar RNA, 152 nt
Filed under: Ipomoea nil (Japanese morning glory)
Lineage: Eukaryota; Viridiplantae; Streptophyta; Magnoliopsida; Solanales; Convolvulaceae
Description: small nucleolar RNA snoR135
Rfam family: small nucleolar RNA snoR135
Source: Rfam by way of RNAcentral
UGAGCAGGGAUAUGUGUGUAUCGGCUCAUUGACACUGUUCCCUACAAAACUAUGUAUUGGACCGUUCCCUACAAAACUAUGUAUUGGGGAAGAUGGGCAGUUGUGUUUUGUCCUUACGUUCAAAUCUUUCAACAAUCAUCCACCUUACAUUU